Molecule: long non-coding RNA, 647 nt
Organism: Olea europaea var. sylvestris
Lineage: Eukaryota; Viridiplantae; Streptophyta; Magnoliopsida; Lamiales; Oleaceae
Exons: 2
Source: RefSeq, a predicted model, not a curated record
AGAGAGAGCACGUGAGUUUUUUGGUCAGUUUGGUUCUUCUUCCUUGAGUUUCUAAUUGCUACUCUAUUUCUUUUUUGGCUUGCAAACCAAUCACCAAGUGUUUCCUUUGUGGGGUGAAGACUUGUGACAAUCAAGUGGGAGUUGUGGGUCGAGUAAAGCUCAGUUGAUGUUUGUUUGGUUGAUGAAAAUGAACCUGAAUCAAGAUUUCUCGAGGAUUUCUGCAACAAAGGACUUCCCGUUCGACCCUUGAGGUUACGGGACACCCCAAGGCAGCCUUCCCCACUCAUGCGGCCAACAAGCUAAUAGAAGGCACCCAGCACAUAUAAGGAUAUUGGAAGCUUGGCAUCAUACCUGAAUAAGGGAUACCGUUAGUGUACUUCCGAGAAAUAUAGCAGUAAAUCCAGGAUGAGAACGGGUCGUGUGGAUGCUUAGAAGAUUGACCAAGUGAUGCUUAUGGAAUCGCUAAGUAAAGUCUCCAGAAAAUAUUAUUGUCAACUUUUAUUUGAAUAGUAUCUUUAUGUUAAUGCACGUUAUUUAAUUUUUUUUUUUUUAGAGAUUCAGCAUUGGGCAUUUUAUAUUAAAUCUUAAACUAAUAGCUUGGAAUGGAGUAUUUCAAAGAUUAUAUUUAAUAUGAAAAUUUUACUUAA